UUCGCUGACGAGUGGCGGACGGGUGAGUAAUGUCUGGGAAACUGCCUGAUGGAGGGGGAUAACUACUGGAAACGGUAGCUAAUACCGCAUAACGUCGCAAGACCAAAGAGGGGGACCUUCGGGCCUCUUGCCAUCGGAUGUGCCCAGAUGGGAUUAGCUAGUAGGUGGGGUAACGGCUCACCUAGGCGACGAUCCCUAGCUGGUCUGAGAGGAUGACCAGCCACACUGGAACUGAGACACGGUCCAGACUCCUACGGGAGGCAGCAGUGGGGAAUAUUGCACAAUGGGCGCAAGCCUGAUGCAGCCAUGCCGCGUGUAUGAAGAAGGCCUUCGGGUUGUAAAGUACUUUCAGCGGGGAGGAAGGGAGUAAAGUUAAUACCUUUGCUCAUUGACGUUACCCGCAGAAGAAGCACCGGCUAACUCCGUGCCAGCAGCCGCGGUAAUACGGAGGGUGCAAGCGUUAAUCGGAAUUACUGGGCGUAAAGCGCA
RNAcentral lists this ribosomal RNA (489 nucleotides) under Escherichia coli. RNAcentral's name for it is "bacterial SSU rRNA". It matches the Rfam family "Bacterial small subunit ribosomal RNA", at positions 84 to 569 of the family's 1533-position model. The record is from RNAcentral. Lineage: Bacteria; Pseudomonadati; Pseudomonadota; Gammaproteobacteria; Enterobacterales; Enterobacteriaceae.